This 613-nucleotide small RNA is filed under the name Arabidopsis thaliana (thale cress). RNAcentral describes it as "ATSL288850". The record is from RNAcentral. Lineage: Eukaryota; Viridiplantae; Streptophyta; Magnoliopsida; Brassicales; Brassicaceae.
AUUCAUAUAUUAUAUCCGCAAAUAAGCAUAUCAAAGCAAAAAACCAAAAUUUUUUAGGAAUCAAAACAAUAACAAUCAUCUUCUAUAAAUAUAGAUUAUAGGAUUUCAGUUUCCUCAAAAUUGUUUUUACAUACAUCACAAUGUCUAUGGCAGAGAUUUUCGAGAGAGUUGACAAAAAUAAAGAUGGAAAAAUUUCAUGGGACAAAUUUGAGGAGGCCAUUCGCGUUUUUUCUCCUAAAAUAACAUCUGAAGAAAUUGAUAAGAUGUUCAUAGUUCUUGUUGUUGAUGGUGGCGGUCAAAUUGAUGAUGUGGAGUUUCCUUCAUGCUUGAUGGUUAAUGGUGGAGGAGAAAAAGAUGAUCAAGAAGAAGUUGUUAUGAAAAAAGUAUACAAUAGAGGAAUGUGUUGCGAUGGUUAAGCCGUUGAUAAAGAAAGUGAUAGUUUUAUUAACUUUGAAGAGUUUAAGAUUAUGAUGAGCUCUAACAAAGAGUCUUUCUGAUCUUACUCAAAAAUUUAAUAGUUUAAUUACUUUUUGGUAUUUUAUUUGCUUUUUAGUUUAUGAACUCGGUUUUGAUGAUUACGUUUUUAUCAAAUUGUCAAUGAAUUAUUUUGUUU